AUUGAACGCUGGCGGCGUGCCUAACACAUGCAAGUCGAGCGGUAACAGGUGUAGCAAUACAUGCUGACGAGCGGCGGACGGGUGAGUAACGCUUGGGAAUCUGCCUAUUAGUGGGGGACAACCCGGGGAAACUCGGGCUAAUACCGCAUACGCUCUACGGAGGAAAGCCGGGGACCGCAAGGCCUGGCGCUAAUAGAUGAGCCCAAGUCGGAUUAGCUAGUUGGUAGGGUAANGGCCUACCAAGGCGACGAUCCGUAACUGGUCUGAGAGGACGACCAGUCACACCGGAACUGAGACACGGUCCGGACUCCUACGGGAGGCAGCAGUGGGGAAUAUUGGACAAUGGGCGAAAGCCUGAUCCAGCGACGCCGCGUGGGCGAAGAAGGCCUGCGGGUUGUAAAGCCCUUUC
This 409-nucleotide ribosomal RNA is filed under the name uncultured bacterium. Its description in RNAcentral is "bacterial SSU rRNA". It matches the Rfam family "Bacterial small subunit ribosomal RNA", at positions 29 to 437 of the family's 1533-position model. The record is from RNAcentral.